AUACUGAAAUGCAUGGUGGGAAAUCAGUGUGAAAUUCAUUGGCUGUACCUGCAACCGUAAAGUCGGAGCGCCACCCAGUAA
This 81-nucleotide non-coding RNA is filed under the name unclassified sequences. The record is from Rfam.